GGGUCGGUGGCAGAGUGGUCAAAUGCAUCAGACUGUAAAUCUGACGACUUCGGUCUACGGCGGUUCAAAUCCGUCCCGGCCCACAA
RNAcentral lists this transfer RNA (86 nucleotides) under Candidatus Moraniibacteriota bacterium. RNAcentral's name for it is "tRNA-Tyr". It matches the Rfam family "tRNA". From Rfam's summary of the family: Transfer RNA (tRNA) molecules are approximately 80 nucleotides in length. Their secondary structure includes four short double-helical elements and three loops (D, anti-codon, and T loops). Lineage: Bacteria; Candidatus Moraniibacteriota. The record is from RNAcentral.